RNAcentral lists this ribosomal RNA (441 nucleotides) under Exiguobacterium mexicanum. RNAcentral's name for it is "bacterial SSU rRNA". It matches the Rfam family "Bacterial small subunit ribosomal RNA", at positions 63 to 484 of the family's 1533-position model. Lineage: Bacteria; Bacillati; Bacillota; Bacilli; Caryophanales. The record is from RNAcentral.
GGAAUCGACGGAACCCUUCGGGGGGAAGUCGACGGAAUGAGCGGCGGACGGGUGAGUAACACGUAAAGAACCUGCCCUCAGGUCUGGGAUAACCACGAGAAAUCGGGGCUAAUACCGGAUGGGUCAUCGGACCGCAUGGUCCGAGGAUGAAAGGCGCUCCGGCGUCGCCUGGGGAUGGCUUUGCGGUGCAUUAGCUAGUUGGUGGGGUAAUGGCCCACCAAGGCGACGAUGCAUAGCCGACCUGAGAGGGUGAUCGGCCACACUGGGACUGAGACACGGCCCAGACUCCUACGGGAGGCAGCAGUAGGGAAUCUUCCACAAUGGACGAAAGUCUGAUGGAGCAACGCCGCGUGAACGAUGAAGGCCUUCGGGUCGUAAAGUUCUGUUGUAAGGGAAGAACAAGUGCCGCAGGCAAUGGCGGCACCUUGACGGUACCUUGCG